GGGGGGUGACGUUGUCGGGAAUAUUGGGCGUAAGGGCUCGCAGGCGGUUUCUUAAGUCUGAUGUGAAAGCCCCCGGCUCAACCGGGGAGGGUCAUUGGAAACUGGGGAACUUGAGUGCAGAAGAGGAGAGUGGAAUUCCACGUGUAGCGGUGAAAUGCGAUAGAGAUGUGGAGGAACACCAGUGGCGAAGGCGACUCUCUGGUCUGUAACUGACGCUGAGGAGCGAAAGCGUGGGGAGCGAACAGGAUUAGAUACCCUGGUAGUCCACGCCGUAAACGAUGAGUGCUAAGUGUUAGGGGGUUUCCGCCCCUUAGUGCUGCAGCUAACGCAUUAAGCACUCCGCCUGGGGAGUACGGUCGCAAGACUGAAACUCAAAGGAAUUGACGGGGGCCCGCACAAGCGGUGGAGCAUGUGGUUUAAUUCGAAGCAACGCGAAGAACCUUACCAGGUCUUGACAUCCUCUGACAAUCCUAGAGAUAGGACGUCCCCUUCGGGGGCAGAGUGACAGGUGGUGCAUGGUUGUCGUCAGCUCGUGUCGUGAGAUGUUGGGUUAAGUCCCGCAACGAGCGCAACCCUUGAUCUUAGUUGCCAGCAUUCAGUUGGGCACUCUAAGGUGACUGCCGGUGACAAACCGGAGGAAGGUGGGGAUGACGUCAAAUCAUCAUGCCCCUUAUGACCUGGGCUACACACGUGCUACAAUGGACAGAACAAAGGGCAGCGAAACCGCGAGGUUAAGCCAAUCCCACAAAUCUGUUCUCAGUUCGGAUCGCAGUCUGCAACUCGACUGCGUGAAGCUGGAAUCGCUAGU
This 808-nucleotide ribosomal RNA is filed under the name Bacillus subtilis subsp. subtilis. RNAcentral describes it as "bacterial SSU rRNA". It matches the Rfam family "Bacterial small subunit ribosomal RNA", at positions 530 to 1339 of the family's 1533-position model. The record is from RNAcentral. Lineage: Bacteria; Bacillati; Bacillota; Bacilli; Caryophanales; Bacillaceae.